Small nuclear RNA from Suncus etruscus (white-toothed pygmy shrew), 103 nucleotides. NCBI's taxonomy places the organism in Eukaryota, Metazoa, Chordata, Mammalia, Eulipotyphla, Soricidae. The record is from RefSeq and is a predicted model, not a curated record.
GUGCUUGCUUUGGCAGCACAUAUUCUAAAACUGAAAUAAAACAGAGAAGAUUAGUAUGGUCCUACAUAAGGAUGUUACACAAAUUCAAGAACCUUCUGUUUUA